Molecule: long non-coding RNA, 2231 nt
Organism: Leopardus geoffroyi (Geoffroy's cat)
Lineage: Eukaryota; Metazoa; Chordata; Mammalia; Carnivora; Felidae
Exons: 2
Source: RefSeq, a predicted model, not a curated record
CAGUGUAAACACAAGAAUCAACACUGCAAAAGUGACCUCCAUGUGAUUCACAGGAAGGAUGCAUAUAAGCUUGGGACCUUUCUGCCUUGCUGAUGCAACAUCUGGACAGCAUUCAGGGUUGUUUCUCAAGGACACAAGCGUGCACCUCCGGUGAAUUUCAACUUUCAACAUCUCUCUGGCUCUAAUCUAUAUUUAAUGUUUCAUGACUGGUAGUCAAAGAAGCUUCAGCUAAAUAUCAGGUUGGAAUGAAAAUGAUCCUUGGGAGAACAUUUGCUUCCAGUGUGCGCCAGCAAAGUGUCUGUGACAGAGGCUUUCCCCGGAGAUUUGUUGCCCAUUCUCUUGCAGUAAUAAUAAUUACGCCUUAUGAUUGCUGUGCCCACAUAAUCAAAGAUCGCUUCAUCAAAUGUGAUCCCGAGGGGAAGCUUCCUCUGCUCCUAACUGGAUGUCAGUCACAGAGAGCAGCACCCCUAGGGAGCCCCAAUCUUUCUUUUACCCUUUUCAGUACUGUGUUGUUAGCAUUGUGUUUCUUCAUAUUCUUCUCAAUGCAAAUGAUGUGUAAAUCAUGCCCUCCAGAAGGCACAUGUGGUGAGGGGGAGAGGAUGGGGAGGGGGGUGGGGCUGGUGUAUUCUUCUCCCCCGGCUCCCCUCCCCAACCUACCACAGGGAUUUCUCGCAUGGAACAUAAUUACAUCUGUGCCAUAUGGGCUCAUUUAUAUUCUAUUACAGGUUAAGCUAAUACGACUCAGAAAUAUGCUAAAAAUACCUCAAAGUAUUCUAGAGCUGUCAAAACACUUGUCAUUUAUUGCUCACCCGUUUGAUUGCUAGUGUUUUUGUUUUUGUUGGGAGAUUCAGAGAGCUAAGAGAGCAUGCUGGCAUUCUGGUGUCCGGUCUAUAAAUAUAGUUUAAUUUCCUGUAUUAUUGCAAUCUUUGGGCUUGCAAAGAAAAUAUCUUUCUUUAUAAACCUGGAAUGGCCGCAAGACAUGGGCGCUGAAGCCCCUAUACUUGUAGAUUUUAAUUUCCCAAGAGGUAGAAAAUACAGAUUUCAGAUGUGUGGUUUUGUCAGCUUUAGAAUAUUUCUUGUCUUUGUUUGAUAUAAUUAUUCAUUGUGAUAGAGAAACACCUGCAGCAGGCUGACAUACCAGAGAAACGUGCUGCUUGAGCUAUAAGAGUUGGUUUGGAUGUCAGGCAAAUCUUGUUGAGAUUUUACAUGUGGCAUGAUAAUGAGAAGUACAAUCUGUAAUGAGUAAUGAGUUCAAUAAUGAUUUACAGGGGCACGUUGGGUUGUUUGUAUGCAAUGGUUAAAGUCCAUCAGCCCGUUAAUUUCUACCAUCAGCUUGGAAAGUUGGUAGGUCAUGUUUGUGUAGACUCUUAACCUAAUGGUUUGAUUAUGUAAUUAAUGUUUUCCAUUAUUGCUAUCUUAACGUAUUAGCGGAAUUUUUAAAAAUGAGUCUUGGGAACAGAAGAGCAAGAACAACUACUGUACUCUCCUAUGCUUGACAAGUAACAUUUCCAAAGGGGAUAUGGUGUUAACCACAGUAUCAGCCAUAAAUUAAGUAUGCAGACCAUUUAACUGAAAACUGAACUCCCACAAAAGCAUACUUUUCUAAUUUGCUAAUAACUGUACUAUACUAUCUGGUUGAAGGAGUAGUUAAGACUUCCUGGUUCCAAUCUCAACUCUGCUACUUACUAGCUUGUUAUCUUGGCAAAUUCCAUAAUUUUUCCAUUUCCCUUGUCUAUAAAAUGAGCAUAGGAAUAGUAGCUUCCCCAUGGGAUUGUUGGAAAUAUUAAAUGAGACAAUACAUGUAAAUACUAAGGCACAGUGUCUGCCACAUAAUAAUCACUUAGUAAAUACUUGUUAUUAUUAUUGUAGAUUUUUACUUCUAAUAUAAACAGCUUCUUUAUAAUUAUAUGGCUCUUUUAGUUACAAAAUUAGGUUUUUGCCAAAAUCAUGUUAGUUGCACAAACUUCCAUUUAUCUUAGAUCAUACAAGCCAGAGGUUCUUGGCAUUUUUGGAUUUUACAACCAAGUUCUUACUCCACUUAGAAUCAGUAGAAAUAUUAUGAAUGGGCAUGGGAAGAAAUAGAAAAAUUCAAUGUUAAUACAUCAAAGACAAGAUUUUUUUACUUAACAUAAAAUUUAAAAAUAUUUGUACAUUUAGGAUUGCUCAGAAUACAAAGUGUCUGAACUCAUGCAAUUGAAAUGUUACAUUUAAGUAAAUAAUAAAGAACUGCA